RNAcentral lists this ribosomal RNA (468 nucleotides) under uncultured bacterium. RNAcentral describes it as "partial 16S ribosomal RNA". It matches the Rfam family "Bacterial small subunit ribosomal RNA", at positions 28 to 507 of the family's 1533-position model. The record is from RNAcentral.
GACGAACGCUGGCGGCGUGCUUAACACAUGCAAGUCGAACGGAAAGGCCCUGCUUUUGUGGGGUGCUCGAGUGGCGAACGGGUGAGUAACACGUGAGUAACCUGCCCUUGACUUUGGGAUAACUUCAGGAAACUGGGGCUAAUACCGGAUAGGAGCUCCUGCUGCAUGGUGGGGGUUGGAAAGUUUCGGCGGUUGGGGAUGGACUCGCGGCUUAUCAGCUUGUUGGUGGGGUAGUGGCUUACCAAGGCUUUGACGGGUAGCCGGCCUGAGAGGGUGACCGGCCACAUUGGGACUGAGAGACGGCCCAGAGUCCUACGGGAGGCAGCAGUGGGGAAUAUUGCACAAUGGGCGGAAGCCUGAUGCAGCAACGCCGCGGGCGGGAUGACGGCCUUCGGGUUGUAAACCGCUUUCGCCUGUGACGAAGCGUGAGUGACGGUAAUGGGUAAAGAAGCACCGGCUAACUACGUG